AACGAACGCUGGCGGCAUGCCUAACACAUGCAAGUCGAACGGGAUCCUAGCUUGCUAGGUGAGAGUGGCGGACGGGUGAGUAACACGUGGGAAUCUGCCUUUUGGUUCGGGAUAACCGCGGGAAACUGCGGCUAAUACCGAAUGCCCUCGAGAGAGGAAAGAUUUAUCGCCAGAAGAGGAGCCCGCGUCCGAUUAGGUAGUUGGUGGGGUAAAAGGCCUACCAAGCCGACGAUCGGUAGCUGGUCUGAGAGGAUGAUCAGCCACACUGGGACUGAGAUACGGCCCAGACUCCUACGGGAGGCAGCAGUGGGGAAUAUUGGACAAUGGGGGCAACCCUGAUCCAGCAAUGCCGCGUGAGUGAUGAAGGCCUUAGGGUUGUAAAGCUCUUUUGCCAGGGAAGAUGAUGACUGUACCUGGAGAAUAACGCCCGGCUAACUUCGUGCCAGCAGCCGCGGUAAU
This 459-nucleotide ribosomal RNA is filed under the name uncultured bacterium. RNAcentral describes it as "bacterial SSU rRNA". It matches the Rfam family "Bacterial small subunit ribosomal RNA", at positions 29 to 524 of the family's 1533-position model. The record is from RNAcentral.